This is a long non-coding RNA of Cydia fagiglandana, 640 nucleotides long. RefSeq lists it as uncharacterized. The record is from RefSeq and is a predicted model, not a curated record. Lineage: Eukaryota; Metazoa; Arthropoda; Insecta; Lepidoptera; Tortricidae. The transcript has 2 exons.
UAUAAAUACACAUUUCCGUUUCCUCGAAGGAAAUUCGGAAUAAGGUGCAGGGGGCCAAUUUCAACUGCGGGGAAAUUUCAACUAAUCGCAAUAUCUUCCACGUUUUACAUUAUUAACUAUAUACUUAAGAUAUUAGAGUUCGAUAUAUAUGCCCAGAUAGCGAAAUAGAUGUGUUGUGUGUCUCUAGUUAAUAAUGUAAAAUUUGACGGUAUUUCGAUUAAGUACGGUACGGUGGAGAACUUGCUUUGCGAAAUCCGUAGGUAUCUACCAUACCUACCUAAUGGAAUAUAUUUUUAUUGAUUAGGUACUGGUGUUAUAUUGCUCACUCGGCCUAAUAUUAAAUUAUUCUUGGGGAGUUGAAGAAUCUACGCCAAAAAAGGGAGCACAUCUCGAAGCAGUUAUUGCGCCCUCCGAUAAUUACUCCGAAGUUGACUUGAACGAAGACUCAUCGAUCUGGCAAUUCUGGCGGCCUUGGAAAUUAUGGAACUGGGGUCGCAAUUUGAUGAACGAAGAAUAUCAUGAAAAUGCGAAGAGCAGUUAUGGAUACGGAAGACACGGGAUUUUCCAUCGAGACCAAAAAAGAUCUAAGAUUAAAAACAAAAUAAAAUUCCUUGUUAAAAUACACCAAUUUCAAACUUAA